Molecule: long non-coding RNA, 570 nt
Filed under: Homo sapiens (human)
Lineage: Eukaryota; Metazoa; Chordata; Mammalia; Primates; Hominidae
Description: non-protein coding lnc-HRH4-13:1
Source: RNAcentral
GAAUUUGCUUUUAGUGAGGAGUGGCAUUUGGAGAAAAAGACUUAUUAACUAGAAUGAGCAGAUUAAAGGGAAUUCCAUUCCAGGAGGAAUGCAAGAAAUGACAGUCAGCCUGGACAGGUGAUGAGGCUUUAGUGAAGUAGGACAGGCCAACUCACAAAUAAUGCUGGAUAAUGCUAGGACCCAGUGUUGGGAAAGCCUUGUACUCAGGCACAACAGGGUCUCUUCAUUAUUUUAAUACUGACAGGGACUGAAGUAGCCAUGGAACAAUAGCCCUCCAUUCUAGCUGUUGAGGCCCGCGAGGCACACGUAUGGGAAUCUUAUGGCUCUUCACCUAUGGGAGUCCUCUAGGAACACUUGCAAUUUACACUGAAGCAAUGUGACUGCCCUUGCUCUAGGAUAGAUCAAAACAAGACAUAUCGUAAAGUACAGUUAUCAGAGGGAGGAACUGUUCUGAAUAUUACCAUGUCCUCCCUGUAGCAGGGAGGUGAGCCCUGCUAUGUGACAGCACAGAAUAAAAACUGGUCUUAGUACAAGCCUGUGAACUGAGACAGGGUGAAUGGUUUUGUCUGU